GAAUAUUGGACAAUGGGGGGAACCCUGAUCCAGCCAUGCCGCGUGUGUGAAGAAGGCCUUUUGGUUGUAAACACUUUAAGCGGGGAGGAGGGCACUCUAGUUAAUUCCUUGGGAUAGUUGACGUUUCUCGCAGAAAAAGCACCGGCCAACCUCGUGCCAGCCGCCGCGGUAAUACAGAGGGUGCAAGCGUUAAUCGGAUUUACUGGGCGUAAAGCGCGCGUAGGUGGCCAAUUAAGUCAAAUGUGAAAUCCCCGAGCUUAACUUGGGAAUUACAUUCGAUACUGGUUGGCUAGAGUAUGGGAGAGGAUGGUAGAAUUCCAGGUGUAGCGGUGAAAUGCGUAGAGAUCUGGAGGAAUACCGAUGGCGAAGGCAGCCAUCUGGCCUAAUACUGACACUGAGGUGCGAAAGCAUGGGGAGCAAACA
This 423-nucleotide ribosomal RNA is filed under the name uncultured bacterium. RNAcentral's name for it is "partial 16S ribosomal RNA". It matches the Rfam family "Bacterial small subunit ribosomal RNA", at positions 359 to 774 of the family's 1533-position model. The record is from RNAcentral.